This 20-nucleotide microRNA is filed under the name Oryza sativa (Asian cultivated rice). Its description in RNAcentral is "osa-miR2866". The record is from miRBase by way of RNAcentral. RNAcentral also lists the same sequence under 1 other name. Lineage: Eukaryota; Viridiplantae; Streptophyta; Magnoliopsida; Poales; Poaceae.
UCUAGUUUGUGUUCAGCAUC